UACGGAGGGUGCAAGCGUUAAUCGGAAUUACUGGGCGUAAAGCGCGCGUAGGCGGUUUGAUAAGCGAGAUGUGAAAGCCCCGGGCUUAACCUGGGAACGGCAUUUCGAACUGUUAGGCUAGAGUGUGGUAGAGGGUAGUGGAAUUUCCUGUGUAGCGGUGAAAUGCGUAGAUAUAGGAAGGAACACCAGUGGCGAAGGCGGCUACCUGGACCAUCACUGACACUGAGGUGCGAAAGCGUGGGGAGCAAACAGG
Molecule: ribosomal RNA, 253 nt
Filed under: uncultured bacterium
Lineage: Bacteria
Description: partial 16S ribosomal RNA
Rfam family: Bacterial small subunit ribosomal RNA
Source: RNAcentral